GAUGCCCAACCAUCGGAUAUCAAACGAGCUUAUUAGAGAUAUUUUACAGAGCCUUGACUAUCAGUUAUAGAGCCAUGUCAGACACAAUCUCUAGAAGAGCUUUUAUGAGACUUCGAUAGAAGGCAUCUCUGAAGAUACUAGAUCAGAUCUCUCUUACUAACUAAGGGUGGAAAACUCGCGAGGGAGAGAGGAUCUGGGAUAUAUACUAUUGGUGCCUCCC
RNAcentral lists this long non-coding RNA (220 nucleotides) under Capsicum annuum. RNAcentral's name for it is "long non-coding RNA (CANN_LNC012618)". Lineage: Eukaryota; Viridiplantae; Streptophyta; Magnoliopsida; Solanales; Solanaceae. The record is from RNAcentral.